RNAcentral lists this transfer RNA (82 nucleotides) under Dermacentor andersoni. RNAcentral's name for it is "transfer RNA serine (anticodon UGA)". It matches the Rfam family "tRNA". Rfam says of the family: Transfer RNA (tRNA) molecules are approximately 80 nucleotides in length. Their secondary structure includes four short double-helical elements and three loops (D, anti-codon, and T loops). Further hydrogen bonds mediate the characteristic L-shaped molecular structure. tRNAs have two regions of fundamental functional importance: the anti-codon, which is responsible for specific mRNA codon recognition, and the 3' end, to which the tRNAs corresponding amino acid is attached (by aminoacyl-tRNA synthetases). tRNAs cope with the degeneracy of the genetic code in two manners: having more than one tRNA (with a specific anti-codon) for a particular amino acid; and 'wobble' base-pairing, i.e. permitting non-standard base-pairing at the 3rd anti-codon position. Lineage: Eukaryota; Metazoa; Arthropoda; Arachnida; Ixodida; Ixodidae. The record is from RNAcentral.
GCAGUCGUGGCCGAGUGGUUAAGGCGAUGGACUUGAAAUCAAUUGGGGCUUCCCCGCACAGGUUCGAAUCCUGUCGGCUGCG